UACAGAGGGGGCGAGCGUUGUUCGGAAUUACUGGGCGUAAAGGGCGCGUAGGCGGCCCGCUAAGUCGAACGUGAAAUCCCCAGGCUCAACCUGGGAACUGCGUCCGAUACUGGCAGGCUUGAAUCCGGGAGAGGGAUGUGGAAUUCCAGGUGUAGCGGUGAAAUGCGUAGAUAUCUGGAGGAACACCGGUGGCGAAGGCGGCAUCCUGGACCGGUAUUGACGCUGAGGCGCGAAAGCUAGGGGAGCAAACAGG
Molecule: ribosomal RNA, 253 nt
Filed under: uncultured bacterium
Lineage: Bacteria
Description: partial 16S ribosomal RNA
Rfam family: Bacterial small subunit ribosomal RNA
Source: RNAcentral